Talpa occidentalis (Iberian mole) is the source of this 892-nucleotide long non-coding RNA. RefSeq lists it as uncharacterized. NCBI's taxonomy places the organism in Eukaryota, Metazoa, Chordata, Mammalia, Eulipotyphla, Talpidae. The record is from RefSeq and is a predicted model, not a curated record. The transcript has 4 exons.
GGGACGCCGGCUCUGCGCGCAGAUCUCCUGGGAACCCUCCUUCACCUGCUGCUGCUUCUGCUGCAAAUGACUAGACAUCCAUCUACCUUGUCCCUUCAUAUGUGGAAAUCUUUUCUUCACUGUGCUUAAGGAUGGACCUCGCUGGAGAGUGAGAAUGGGUCUUUGGUGGAUUGUGUUUGUACACUGCCAAUUUGCCAAGUUUCUGACAGAAGGAUGAAAGCAAUGCUAAGAAAUCCCAGAUGAAGACCUUUCUAGAUCUGUAACUGGGAUUAACCAAUUCUUGACUUUACAAAGAUGUUUCAGUUCUGAGGAUAAAGUCAGAACACCUUUGACUAUCCCUGAAGUACUGAAGGUAUAAAGAAGCUUCUGGAUCCCCUAGGUCAAGCAGAGAAACUUUAUUAGAAUGUUGAAUGGGGCCAGGACUACUCUCCAGGCCUUUCCCCUGCAAUCGCGGACCGCAGGCCCCUCCCCCUGCCUCAGCUAGCUCUGUUGGGCCGGCCUUCGCACUCCGCUUCCGUCUGGAUCCUGAGUUUGUCCAGGUCUCCUGGACAGGCUUCUCCCUCUGCCUAAAUCUUGCCCAGCGCCCGUCUCCCAUUUGGCUGCCUGACUUCUACCCUCCUUUAAUUUACAUUUGCUUGCCCAGACAGAACCCUCGGGGGCUCCCAAACGAAUGUCACCCUCACCCAUGCAAAGGCCUGGGCUUUUUCACCCAGACGCUUUUCUUUACUGUUCUCCACUCCCUCAUAGCGGGAGUGGGAGGGCGAAGCGCUAGCUUAGGCCAGAAUCAAAGAGCCAUUUCUUCCCCUUGGGCAAAGGAGGUGCACCUCCCAGAGACAAACGCCGGGAGCGCGACGGGCACUUCCUUCCCUCCCGGCGGCCUCCCAGCCCUGCC